Cervus elaphus (red deer) is the source of this 225-nucleotide long non-coding RNA. RefSeq lists it as uncharacterized. The transcript is spliced from 3 exons. NCBI's taxonomy places the organism in Eukaryota, Metazoa, Chordata, Mammalia, Artiodactyla, Cervidae. The record is from RefSeq and is a predicted model, not a curated record.
UAAUCUCCAUGUGUUUGUGUUUCUUACACUUUUGUUCUUGUAAUUUAUAUCUAGUUUUAUAGCACUGUGGUCGGAGAAGAUGCUUGAUACAAUUUCAAUUUUAUUAAAUUUAUGGUGGUUGGAUUUGUGACCCCAGAUGUGGUCUACCUUGGAGAAUUUCCAUGUGCACUUGAGAAGAAGUUCAGUUCAGUUCAGUCGCUCAGUCCUGUCUGACUCUUUGCGACC